GCUGAAAACCGGCUCUUAUGAAAGUCAGGGUGAGGCAAGACUUUAAGUUGAUCUUGCUGGCCCUCGCACUUACAUUUAAGCAAAAGUUCGGCUUUAGUUGAGCUCGCUGGUUUGUCUUGGAUUAAAAGAGUUGGAUAGGUGAUUAGCUCCAUAGUUAUGUGUGAAAAUGCUAUUUUGAGCACACAUGUAGCUCCAAAUUAUUUUCUUGU
Molecule: unclassified non-coding RNA, 209 nt
Filed under: Hevea brasiliensis (rubber tree)
Lineage: Eukaryota; Viridiplantae; Streptophyta; Magnoliopsida; Malpighiales; Euphorbiaceae
Source: RNAcentral